UAGGUAGGGGUCCUGAGAGGGAGAUCCCCCACACUGGUACUGAGACACGGACCAGACUCCUACGGGAGGCAGCAGUGAGGAAUAUUGGACAAUGGAGGGAACUCUGAUCCAGCCAUGCCGCGUGCAGGAAGACUGCCCUAUGGGUUGUAAACUGCUUUUAUACGGGAAGAAACACCGCUACGUGUAGCGGCUUGACGGUACCGUAANAANAA
Molecule: ribosomal RNA, 212 nt
Filed under: uncultured bacterium
Lineage: Bacteria
Description: partial 16S ribosomal RNA
Rfam family: Bacterial small subunit ribosomal RNA
Source: RNAcentral